CAGUCUCCGCGGUAAUACGUAGGUGGCAAGCGUUGUCCGGAAUUAUUGGGCGUAAAGGGCUCGCAGGCGGUUUCUUAAGUCUGAUGUGAAAGCCCCCGGCUCAACCGGGGAGGGUCAUUGGAAACUGGGAAGCUUGAGUGCAGAAGAGGAGAGUGGAAUUCCACGUGUAGCGGUGAAAUGCGUAGAGAUGUGGAGGAACACCAGUGGCGAAGGCGACUCUCUGGUCUGUAACUGACGCUGAGGAGCGAAAGCGUGGGGAGCAAACAGGAUUAGAGACCCCGGUAGUCCCUGUCUCUUAUAC
Molecule: ribosomal RNA, 301 nt
Filed under: uncultured bacterium
Lineage: Bacteria
Description: partial 16S ribosomal RNA
Rfam family: Bacterial small subunit ribosomal RNA
Source: RNAcentral